Molecule: non-coding RNA, 24 nt
Filed under: Arabidopsis thaliana (thale cress)
Lineage: Eukaryota; Viridiplantae; Streptophyta; Magnoliopsida; Brassicales; Brassicaceae
Also listed under: 2 other names
Source: RNAcentral
CAUUGUGAAGCAGAAUUCACCAAG